CUUCUGAAUCUGCGUUCAGUACAGGAGGCCGAAUCAUCUCUGACCAUAGAACUUGGCUGUCAGGCAACACUGUGGAAGGUUUGAUUUGCUUCCAGGAUUGGCUUAGAGAAUCAGGUUCAUCUUACUUGGACAUCAUAAAGAUUAACAACUCCGGUAGCAGCAUUGAAGAUCUUGGAGUUGCAUGAUGACUUGAAAGACAAGGUAAGGGUUCCUAUUGGGAAAUUCUUGUUGGAGCUUCCAGCUGGGAUACUAGAUGAUGAAAAAGGUGAUUUUGUUGGCACCGCAGUUCGUGAGCUAUUGGAGGCGAGCACAUAUCAGCUGCAUCUGCU
Molecule: long non-coding RNA, 329 nt
Organism: Panicum virgatum (switchgrass)
Lineage: Eukaryota; Viridiplantae; Streptophyta; Magnoliopsida; Poales; Poaceae
Exons: 4
Source: RefSeq, a predicted model, not a curated record